AGGGGAAGUGGGUCGGUCACUACCAUAUCAGGUACAGAAGGGGGAGUGGGUCGGUCACUACCAUAUCAGGUACAGAAGGGGAAGUGGGUCGGUCACUACCAUAUCAGGUACAGAAGGGGGAGUGGGUCGGUCACUACCAUAUCAGGUACAGAAGGGGAAGUGGGUCGGUCAGUACCAUAUCAGGUACAGAAGGGGAAGUGGGUCGGUCAGUACCAUAUCAGGUACAGAAGGGGGAGUGGGUCGGUCACUACCAUAUCAGGUACAGAAGGGGGAGUGGGUCGGUCAGUACCGUCUCAGGUACAGAAGGGGGAGUGGGUCGGUCAGUACCGUCUCAGGUACAGAAGGGGGAGUGGGUCGGUCAGUACCGUCUCAGGUACAGAAGGGGGAGUGGGUCGGUCAGUACCGUCUCAGGUACAGAAGGGGGAGUGGGUCGGUCAGUACCGUCUCUGGGAAUAAUGGGACGUUUGCUGUCAUAUAGUAGUAGUUGUGCUCUUGACUGUUUGUUAAUGAUGUGGUUGUGUGUGAA
This is a long non-coding RNA of Oncorhynchus keta (chum salmon), 526 nucleotides long. RefSeq lists it as uncharacterized. The transcript has 3 exons. The record is from RefSeq and is a predicted model, not a curated record. Lineage: Eukaryota; Metazoa; Chordata; Actinopteri; Salmoniformes; Salmonidae.